UGGUUCUGGCAUCGAUGAAGAACGCAGCGAAAUGCGAUAAGUAAUGUGAAUUGCAGAAUUCAGUGAAUCAUCGAAUCUUUGAACGCACAUUGCGCCUGCCAGUAUUCUGGCGGGCAUGCCUGUUCGAGCGUCAUUUCAACCCUCAAGCUCUGCUUGGUGUUGGGGAUCGGCGUAGCGCCUCCGGGUGCUGCCGUCCCCUAAAUCUAGUGGCGGUCCCGCUAUAGCCUCCUCUGCGUAGUAGUUUUCUCCUCGCACUGGCAGCUCGGCGGUGUCCUUGCCGUAAAACCCCCAACUUCUGAAAGGUUGACCUCGAAUCAGGUAGGAAUACCCGCUGA
Molecule: unclassified non-coding RNA, 335 nt
Filed under: uncultured fungus
Lineage: Eukaryota; Fungi
Description: partial contains 5.8S ribosomal RNA and internal transcribed spacer 2
Rfam family: 5.8S ribosomal RNA (bases 1-133)
Source: RNAcentral